Molecule: ribosomal RNA, 117 nt
Filed under: Actinomycetota bacterium
Lineage: Bacteria; Bacillati; Actinomycetota
Source: RNAcentral
UACGGCAGUCAUAGCGAGAGGGAAACGCCCGGUCCCAUUCCGAACCCGGAAGCUAAGCCUCUCAGCGCCGAUGGUACUGCGCGGGGGACCGCGUGGGAGAGUAGGACGCUGCCGGAC